UACGGAGGGUGCAAGCGUUAUCCGGAUUCACUGGGUUUAAAGGGUGUGUAGGCGGGCUAUUAAGUCAGUGGUGAAAUCUCCGGGCUCAACCCGGAAACUGCCAUUGAUACUAUUAGUCUUGAAUUCUGUUGAGGUAGGCGGAAUAUAUCAUGUAGCGGUGAAAUGCUUAGAUAUGAUAUAGAACACCGAUUGCGAAGGCAGCUUACUAAGCAGAUAUUGACGCUGAGGCACGAAAGCGUGGGGAUCAAACAGG
This 253-nucleotide ribosomal RNA is filed under the name uncultured bacterium. RNAcentral's name for it is "partial 16S ribosomal RNA". It matches the Rfam family "Bacterial small subunit ribosomal RNA", at positions 524 to 776 of the family's 1533-position model. The record is from RNAcentral.